Molecule: non-coding RNA, 71 nt
Organism: Lipotes vexillifer (Yangtze River dolphin)
Lineage: Eukaryota; Metazoa; Chordata; Mammalia; Artiodactyla; Lipotidae
Source: the annotation of a RefSeq genome assembly
UCCCUGAUGGUCCAGAGGUUAGGACUCAGCACUCUCAUUGCUGCGGCCCGGGUUCGAUCCCUGGUAGGGAU